This 595-nucleotide ribosomal RNA is filed under the name Saccharomyces mikatae. Its description in RNAcentral is "eukaryotic LSU rRNA". It matches the Rfam family "Eukaryotic large subunit ribosomal RNA", at positions 40 to 647 of the family's 3401-position model. The record is from RNAcentral. Lineage: Eukaryota; Fungi; Ascomycota; Saccharomycetes; Saccharomycetales; Saccharomycetaceae.
AUAUCAAUAAGCGGAGGAAAAGAAACCAACCGGGAUUGCCUUAGUAACGGCGAGUGAAGCGGCAAAAGCUCAAAUUUGAAAUCUGGUACCUUUGGUGCCCGAGUUGUAAUUUGGAGAGGGCAAUUUCGAGACCGUUCCUUGUCUAUGUUCCUUGGAACAGGACGUCAUAGAGGGUGAGAAUCCCGUGUGGCGAGGAGUGCGGUUCUCAAUGUGAAAUGCCUUCGAAGAGUCGAGUUGUUUGGGAAUGCAGCUCUAAGUGGGUGGUAAAUUCCAUCUAAAGCUAAAUAUUGGCGAGAGACCGAUAGCGAACAAGUACAGUGAUGGAAAGAUGAAAAGAACUUUGAAAAGAGAGUGAAAAAGUACGUGAAAUUGUUGAAAGGGAAGGGCAUUUGAUCAGACAUGGUGUUUUGUGCCCUCUGCUCCUUGUGGGUAGGGGAAUCUCGCAUUUCACUGGGCCAGCAUCAGUUUUGGUGGCAGGAUAAAUCCGUAGGAAUGUAACUUGCUUCGGGAAGUAUUAUAGCCUGCGGGAAUACUGCCAGCUGGGACUGAGGACUGCGACGUAAGUCAAGGAUGCUGGCAUAAUGGUUAUAUGCCG